GAUAUGUUUCUCUGUGUCUGCAAAAAUGUUAACUUCUCUAGUAAUCCAGUUUCAGCUGUUGCUACUGCUAAUGCAUAAGUGUAUAGGCCAAGAAAUACAUGCCAUGAAAAGUUAACACAUGUUCUUCACUACACAUCAAACAAGAAGAACACAAAUACUCAAUGCUGAAGAAGAAGAUAAUCAACAAUCAGAAAAAGUGAGAAGAACUCAAAGCUCAAAAUUCCAAAGUUAUUUUUAGAUUUCAUAGAAAGAAACACUUGUUUAAUUCAUAAAUAUUUUCUAAGUGUUUUUCUUAGAGUAUUUGAUUUACUUUGAAAUCACUUAGUUAGAAGCAAACACUUAAAGUUCCAAUCUUUUGUAUCCAACCCAAUAGUGGUUUAGUUCCUUCUUCAAUCUAGGUUUGUUAGGCUGUUAUGAGAACAUUUGACUUGCACAAUCAAGGUGGUUAGUUCCUCAAAAGUCUGAGGUAGGCUGGCUUGGAGGGUCAGGUGCUUUUGUAAUUCAAGGUAUUUGAAUUAGUGGAUUAAAUCCUUCUGAAUGAGGAAUUGGAUGUAGUCAAGUUAGUUGUGAACUAUGAUAAAUUUAUGUGUCUAAUUAUUUAUGCUUUCA
This is a non-coding RNA of Cicer arietinum (chickpea), 609 nucleotides long. NCBI's taxonomy places the organism in Eukaryota, Viridiplantae, Streptophyta, Magnoliopsida, Fabales, Fabaceae. The record is from RefSeq and is a predicted model, not a curated record.